Molecule: ribosomal RNA, 463 nt
Filed under: Vreelandella stevensii
Lineage: Bacteria; Pseudomonadati; Pseudomonadota; Gammaproteobacteria; Oceanospirillales; Halomonadaceae
Description: partial 16S ribosomal RNA
Rfam family: Bacterial small subunit ribosomal RNA
Source: RNAcentral
CUCGGGUGGCAGCAGUGGGGAAUAUUGGACAAUGGGCGAAAGCCUGAUCCAGCCAUGCCGCGUGUGUGAAGAAGGCCUUCGGGUUGUAAAGCACUUUCAGUGGGGAAGAAAGCCUUGGGGCUAAUACCCUCGAGGAAGGACAUCACCCACAGAAGAAGCACCGGCUAACUCCGUGCCAGCAGCCGCGGUAAUACGGAGGGUGCGAGCGUUAAUCGGAAUUACUGGGCGUAAAGCGCGCGUAGGCGGUCUGAUAAGCCGGUUGUGAAAGCCCCGGGCUCAACCUGGGAACGGCAUCCGGAACUGUCAGGCUAGAGUGCAGGAGAGGAAGGUAGAAUUCCCGGUGUAGCGGUGAAAUGCGUAGAGAUCGGGAGGAAUACCAGUGGCGAAGGCGGCCUUCUGGACUGACACUGACGCUGAGGUGCGAAAGCGUGGGUAGCAAACAGGAUUAGAUACCCCAGUAGUC